GGGGGCGUAGCUCAGCUGGGAGAGCGUACGGUUCGCAUCCGUAAGGUCAAGGGUUCGAAUCCCUCCGUCUCCACCA
This 76-nucleotide transfer RNA is filed under the name Clostridiales bacterium. RNAcentral describes it as "tRNA-Ala". It matches the Rfam family "tRNA". From Rfam's summary of the family: Transfer RNA (tRNA) molecules are approximately 80 nucleotides in length. RNAcentral also lists the same sequence under 5 other names. Lineage: Bacteria; Bacillati; Bacillota; Clostridia; Eubacteriales. The record is from RNAcentral.